AAUUGACAUGCAGUGUCGGUUUGUUUUUAUUACUUUGGUUCAAAGACUUUACAAAAUUAAAAUAAUGGUGACAUGUUUUACUCAAGAAUUUCACCUUCAAAGAUGUUUAUUCAAUUAAUAGGUAUUUUCUUUGAUUUGUCUUGAUGCGUAAUUCCAAAGCAUACAGACAUUAUUACAACAAGCAGUUAUCUGGCGGAUUAGUAGUAGCCGAUCACCUGUACCACGUGACCAGCACAAGCCCGCCGACAAUUAAAACGGUGCGAUCAAUGGACCUCAAAGUGAACAUCUAAAGAAUUGCAGAGAUACCAAAUGGAAGUGUGAUAAUGUGGUGAAUGACGUUACGGAUCACAGCUCCAUUGUUUUGUAUACAUGUUACAAAUUAAGACGACACGGUCCUGCAGUUAAGGCGCUCCAGACAUGAAGGCGCUUACUUGGCUGGCUAAGGGAGCACGGGCCGUGUCGGCUUAUCGCUCUAGGGAAACCCUAGCCGCUACCUGAAGACACACUUGACACAUACCACUGGAAUUCACACCACACUGGUUUCCAAGGAAAUCUUCCAAGGCAUCUGGAACAGCUGGGUGAGGCCGAAGUAACCGCAUAUUGCCAGUCGUCCCCUGUGAAUCGGUGACCACAUAUUAUGAAGAUGCACCUCGACUCGUUGACGGCUUAGCCACUGCAUCAAAGUCUUCCCUGGACAGCCUGGUACAGGCCAAAUCAGACCAAUACAGUGACACUCCUCAAAGAGUUAUCUCCCCUUGACCAGUCGUCAACAUAUAACCAAGUGACUUUCGUGAAGUGCAAAAUGUUAGUAUUCAUGUUGGAGCAAUAAAAUGUAUAAACC
This is a long non-coding RNA of Gigantopelta aegis, 841 nucleotides long. RefSeq lists it as uncharacterized. The transcript has 3 exons. The record is from RefSeq and is a predicted model, not a curated record. NCBI's taxonomy places the organism in Eukaryota, Metazoa, Mollusca, Gastropoda, Neomphalida, Peltospiridae.